RNAcentral lists this ribosomal RNA (1324 nucleotides) under metagenome. RNAcentral describes it as "bacterial LSU rRNA". It matches the Rfam family "Bacterial large subunit ribosomal RNA", at positions 1561 to 2925 of the family's 2925-position model. The record is from RNAcentral.
AGUGGAUGGGGAGCAACCUAGUUGUGCGUGUGUAAAGGUAGUGCCAAGAAAAGCGAUGAUCAUGUUGAAAAUCAAUUCCCGGUACCCGAAACCGACACAGGUGGGCAAGUAGAGAAUACUAAGGGGCGCGAGGUAACUCUCUCCAAGGAACUCGGCAAAAUGACCCCGUAACUUAGGGAGAAGGGGUGCCACCGAGAGGUGGUCGCAGUGAAGAGGCCCAGGCGACUGUUUAGCAAAAACAUAGGUCUCUGCAAACUCGAAAGAGGAGGUAUAGGGGCUGACGCCUGCCCAGUGCCGGAAGGUUAAAGAAGUUGGUCAGUUUUAGGAUGAAGCUAGCGACUGAAGCCCCGGUGAACGGCGGCCGUAACUAUAACGGUCCUAAGGUAGCGAAAUUCCUUGUCGGGUAAGUUCCGACCCGCACGAAAGGCGUAACGAUCUGGGCGCUGUCUCGGAGAGAGGCUCGGCGAAAUAGGAUUGUCUGUGAAGAUACGGACUACCUGCAUUUGGACAGAAAGACCCUAUGAAGCUUUACUAUAGCUUGGAAUUGUGUUCGGGCUUCCUGUGCGCAGGAUAGGUGGGAGGCGAAGAAGGUAUUCUUGUGGGGAUACUGGAGCCAACGGUGAGAUACCACUCUCAGGAGGCUAGAAUUCUAACUUAAUUAAGGACAGUUUCAGGUGGGUAGUUUGACUGGGGCGGUCGCCUCCAAAAAGGUAACGGAGGCGUACUAAGGUUCCCUCAGACUGGUUGGAAAUCAGUCGCAGAGUGCAAAGGCAGAAGGGAGCUUGACUGCGAGAAGUACAGUUCGAGCAGGGUGGAAACACGGUCUUAGUGAUCCGACGGUGCUGUGUGGAAGGGCCGUCGCUCAACGGAUAAAAGUUACUCUAGGAUAACAGGCUGAUCUCCCCCAAGAGUUCACAUCGACGGGGAGGUUUGGCACCUCGAUGUCGGCUCAUCGCAACCUGGGGCGGAAGUACGUCCCAAGGGUUGGGCUGUUCGCCCAUUAAAGCGGUACGUGAGCUGGGUUCAGAACGUCGUGAGACAGUUCGGUCCAUAUCCGAUGUAGGCGUGAGAAUAUUGAGAGGAGCCUUCCUUAGUACGAGAGGACCGGGAAGGACGCACCGCUGGUGUACCUGUUAUGAUGCCAAUUGUAAACGCAGGGUAGCCAAGUGCGGAGAGGAUAACCGCUGAAAGCAUCUAAGUGGGAAGCCCACCUCAAGAUGAGUAUUCUGGUGUAAGGUCACGGGAAGACGACCCGUAAAUAGGCACGAGGUGGAAGUGCGGAGAUGUAUGAAGCCGAAGUGUACUAAUAGACCGUCGGCUUGAC